This 271-nucleotide ribosomal RNA is filed under the name Gammarus balcanicus. Its description in RNAcentral is "partial 16S ribosomal RNA". Lineage: Eukaryota; Metazoa; Arthropoda; Malacostraca; Amphipoda; Gammaridae. The record is from RNAcentral.
CUAAGGUAGCAUAAUCAUUUGUUAUUUAAUUGUUAACUGGAAUGAAAGGUUGAACUGGCUUAUUAAGUUUGUUAAGUUGUAUAGUAAUUUAAAGUUAAGGUAAGAAUUCUUUAAUUUUCUAGGGGACGAUAAGACCCUAGAAGCUUAACAAGCAUAAUGGUUUGUUUUAGAAGUUUGUUUGUUUUACUGGGGCGGUAGAAGUAAUUAAACUAUUUAAUGGUUAGAGGAUCCUUAAGAUAAAGAGAAAAUGGGGAAGUUACUCUAGGGGUAA